RNAcentral lists this ribosomal RNA (253 nucleotides) under uncultured bacterium. RNAcentral describes it as "partial 16S ribosomal RNA". It matches the Rfam family "Bacterial small subunit ribosomal RNA", at positions 524 to 776 of the family's 1533-position model. The record is from RNAcentral.
UACGGAGGGUGCGAGCGUUGUCCGGAAUCAUUGGGCGUAAAGGGCGCGUAGGUGGCCCGGUCAGUCAGUGGUGAAAGCGCGGGGCUCAACUCCGCGUCGGCCAUUGAUACUGCGGGGCUCGAGCACUGUAGAGGCAGGCGGAAUUCCGGGUGUAGCGGUGGAAUGCGUAGAGAUCCGGAAGAACACCGGUGGCGAAGGCGCUCUACUGGGCCAUAACUGACACUGAUGGACGAAAGCUAGGGGAGCGAAAGGG